GAUGAACGCUGGCGGCGUGCCUAAUACAUGCAAGUCGAGCGAACAGACGAGGAGCUUGCUCCUCUGACGUUAGCGGCGGACGGGUGAGUAACACGUGGAUAACCUACCUAUAAGACUGGGAUAACUUCGGGAAACCGGAGCUAAUACCGGAUAAUAUAUUGAACCGCAUGGUUCAAUAGUGAAAGACGGUUUUGCUGUCACUUAUAGAUGGAUCCGCGCCGCAUUAGCUAGUUGGUAAGGUAACGGCUUACCAAGGCAACGAUGCGUAGCCGACCUGAGAGGGUGAUCGGCCACACUGGAACUGAGACACGGUCCAGACUCCUACGGGAGGCAGCAGUAGGGAAUCUUCCGCAAGGGGCGAAAGCUUGACGGAGCAACGCCGCGUGAGUGAUGAAGGUCUGCGGAUCGUAAAACUCUGUUAUUAGGGAAGAACAAAUGUGUAGUAACUAUGCACGUCUUGACGGUACCUAAUCAGAAAGCCACGGCUAACUACGUG
Molecule: ribosomal RNA, 496 nt
Filed under: uncultured bacterium
Lineage: Bacteria
Description: partial 16S ribosomal RNA
Rfam family: Bacterial small subunit ribosomal RNA
Source: RNAcentral